RNAcentral lists this long non-coding RNA (3000 nucleotides) under Sus scrofa (pig). RNAcentral's name for it is "lncRNA (ENSSSCG00000058647.1)". The record is from RNAcentral. Lineage: Eukaryota; Metazoa; Chordata; Mammalia; Artiodactyla; Suidae.
AGCUGUUAUCCUUAUGGGAAUCCCCUUAUACAUGAUUUGUUGCUUUUCCCUUGUGGCUCCUAGUAUUUUUUCUUUGAACUUAAUUUUCAUCAGUUUGAUUCAUAUGUUGCUGGCUGUAUUUCUCCUGGAGUUUAUUUUGUAUAGAAUUCUCUGUGUUUCUUCCACUUGAGUGAGUGUUUCUUUUCCCAUAUUUGGGAAAAUUUGAGUUAUAAUCUCUUCAAAUAUUUUCUCUGGCCCUUUUUCUCUCUCUUCUCCUUCUGUAACCCCCAUGAUGCAAAUGCUGGUAUGUUUAAUGUUGUCCCAGAUGCUUCUUAGACUCUUCUCAGUUUUUUUUUUUUCAUUCUUUUUUCUUUAUUCUUUUCUGUAGCAGUGAUUUCUACCACUCUAUCUUCCACCUCACUUAUUCAUUCUUCUGCCUCCAUUAAUCUGCUAUUAGUUCCUUCUUGACUAGUUUUCAUUUCAGCUAUUGCACUAUUCAUUUUGGUCUUCACAUCCUCUAGCUCUUUGUUAAACAUUUCUUUUAAGUUCUCCUUCUGUGUCUCCAUUCUUUUUCCAAGAUCUUGGAUCAUCUUUACAAUCAUCACUGAAUUCUUUCUCCUCAUCAUUUGGUGUGUUUUUGUUUGUGUUUUUGUCUUGUUCCUUUGUCUCAAAGCUGUUUCUUUGACAUUUCAUAAUGUCUGCCUUUCUGUUUAUCAUUCCCUUGACAGCUGGUGUGUAGAUGUUGAAUCAGGUGCCCAGUCCUGGAGUUCUCAGGGGUGGUAGUGGUUUAUGUGUACCUCUUUUCUGGGUAGGCUCUAGGGAUUGUUCUUUGUAGAACAGGUUCCAUUUUCUGCCAGCACUCUCCUUGCUGUGCCAAACUAGGUAUCUCUCUCUAAAAGAGGGGCGGGGGGCUUCUCCAUAAUUGUUGCUCAAAGGCUCUCUCUAGCUGCACAAUAUGUGUUUCUGGCAAUCCCUCCCCCUGCCUUGCUACUGGUAGGACUGCUCUCUUUAGCUCUGCAGAUUGGAAUGUGUGUUAAUGGGCCUCCACUGGCUCUGUUGGUGUGGAAAGAGACAUGAGCCUUCACAGGGCUACUGGCAGGGUCCUGUAUCUUGUGCUUUUUGCCAGUUGGGAAGCCCACAUCUCCAUCAGUGAAUGGGCAGUGGCAGCCCUCUCAUGAAAAUGGGCACUGCUGCGAGCAGCUUUUCUGGUGCUGCUUUGCUGGUGCAAGCUUCUGUAGAUUCUCUGGGUGGAGCCUCUGUUUUUGGCUGGUCUUAUCACUGGUGGGGGAUCUUCCUGGGGUGCAGGAGCUAUUCCUCUUUCUAGCUUCCUCCUGGAGGGCAGGUCCUGUCUCAUUUCCUUUCACUUUUUUUCUCUUCUUUUUUUUUUCUGCUGUUCUAUCUGGUUUUGUAAUAUUUUUCUUGUUCUGUCAUAAUCUUGAGGUCUUUUGUCGGUUUUUCACAAAUUUUCUGUGUGAAUAGUUGCACAUAUAGUUGUAGUUUCAAUGUAUUUGUGGGAGUAGAUGAGCCUUACAUCCUGCUGCUCUGCUAUCUUAGGCCUCCCCAAGAAGGUAAGAAGUAUAGUAUUUAAUAAGUCAGAUUCAGUACCUGUAUUCUCUGAGCUUAUGUAUUAAAGAUACAGACCCACAUUCAAUAUGCAAUAAAAACAAAACAAUAGGCAAUGAGUGAGAAAACAUUGGGAACUAAGGGAAUAUAAAAAAGAACCUUCCCUUAGAGCCACAGACCUAACUCCUGAAGGAGAGAUGUUUCAAGCAAGACUAUCACAAGGAGUGAGACAGAUAUGAUCCCAAACCACAUCCACAUCUUCAUACUCCAUUGUUGUAUCCUUGAAAAUAAAAUAAAAUUGCAUAUUCUGGGAAUUCACUUUUUGCCUUGAUAGAUCCAGAUGGAAACCGGGGUGAUAUGGGGCAUUCAUAUGCAAUAAAUUUCUCAAAAAGCACUAGGAUGAAACUACCUUUGAACAGCAUCUUGCAGCAGUUAAGAUCCCAAUCUUUUUAAAAAGAGGUGGAUCAUCUUUGAAUACUAUGUAAAUAUUGUAAUAGUCUCAGAAGGGAGAUAAAAUAAGCUUUCAGUGACCUGUUAAAAUUACUCUUUUAAUGGAAUUCCAAGCAGUAGUCAAUUUUUUAUUAAGUGAAUUAAUUCAAAGAGACCUUCCACAUUUAGGGGAAAAAAAUCCUCUGAGAGACAUUCUCCAAAGAUUACCUCAUCAAGAACAUCAGAGAGGAGCUAUAGAUAGUAUCUCAUUAGAAAUUUUAAAAUGCACAUUCAGUUGAAACUUAUGCAACAUCUACUUUAUGCUGGGCACUUCUAUCCCAGAUCAUUUUAGUAGAUCCUCUUGUUCUUAAACCACCCUAUAAAGAAGGAAUGUUUAUCUUCAUUGUAAACCUAAACACACUGAAGCUGAGAGGAUAGAAAUGACUUGUCAAGCUUACAGAGUAAACAAAUAGUAGGGAAUAUGCACAUCAGCCUGGGAUCUCUGGCUCUUGCCGUAUAACAAACACUGAUUAAGUGAGCAAUGAUUAAAUGUGGAAGGGAUGAUAAUUGGCCUAGGUUGUUAGUCUUUAGAAUGGAAGCACAGAUACCAUCUCCUGCAGUGAGGAGCAUGCCUUCACUAAGAGCCCCUGCUUUCUAAAACUGUUCCUUGAAAACUGCCUCUAGAUAACUAAGGAUAUCUGCCUGAGAGGAAAGAAACACUGUUUUACAGGACACAUAAUCAAAUAUGGUCUCUCUACCUAAAGUCUUGGGAUUUCCUCACUCCUGUGCCCCAGGAAUAACAGUAAGAUGCAUGCAAAUCUGAUCUCGUGCCGCCCACCCACUUGUUUUAAAACUCUAUAUAUCAGGGAGUUCCCACUGUGGCUCAGUGGUAAAGAACACAACUAGUAUCCAGGAGGAUGUGGGUUUGAUCCCUUGCUUUGCUCAGUAGGAUAAGGAUCUGGUGUGGCCGUGGCUGUGGCAUAGGCUGGCAGCUAUAAUGCCAAUUCGACCCCUAGCAUGGGAACUUCU